UACAGAGGGGGCUAGCGUUAUUCGGAAUUAUUGGGCGUAAAGGGCGCGUAGGCGGCCAUGCGUGUCUUCCGUGAAAUCCCUCGGCUUAACUGAGGACGUGCGGAAGAAACUGCAAGGCUCGAGUCUGGGAGAGGGGGGUGGAAUUCCCAGUGUAGCGGUGAAAUGCGUAGAUAUUGGGAGGAACACCGGUGGCGAAGGCGACCCCCUGGACCGGUACUGACGCUGAGGCGCGAAAGCGUGGGUAGCAAACGGG
This 253-nucleotide ribosomal RNA is filed under the name uncultured bacterium. RNAcentral describes it as "partial 16S ribosomal RNA". It matches the Rfam family "Bacterial small subunit ribosomal RNA", at positions 524 to 776 of the family's 1533-position model. The record is from RNAcentral.